RNAcentral lists this ribosomal RNA (1373 nucleotides) under uncultured bacterium. RNAcentral's name for it is "bacterial SSU rRNA". It matches the Rfam family "Bacterial small subunit ribosomal RNA", at positions 28 to 1381 of the family's 1533-position model. The record is from RNAcentral.
GAUGAACGCUGGCGGCGUGCCUAAUACAUGCAAGUCGAGCGAACGGACGAGAAGCUUGCUUCUCUGAUGUUAGCGGCGGACGGGUGAGUAACACGUGGAUAACCUACCUAUAAGACUGGGAUAACUUCGGGAAACCGGAGCUAAUACCGGAUAAUAUUUUGAACCGCAUGGUUCAAAAGUGAAAGACGGUCUUGCUGUCACUUAUAGAUGGAUCCGCGCUGCAUUAGCUAGUUGGUAAGGUAACGGCUUACCAAGGCAACGAUGCAUAGCCGACCUGAGAGGGUGAUCGGCCACACUGGAACUGAGACACGGUCCAGACUCCUACGGGAGGCAGCAGUAGGGAAUCUUCCGCAAUGGGCGAAAGCCUGACGGAGCAACGCCGCGUGAGUGAUGAAGGUCUUCGGAUCGUAAAACUCUGUUAUUAGGGAAGAACAUAUGUGUAAGUAACUGUGCACAUCUUGACGGUACCUAAUCAGAAAGCCACGGCUAACUACGUGCCAGCAGCCGCGGUAAUACGUAGGUGGCAAGCGUUAUCCGGAAUUAUUGGGCGUAAAGCGCGCGUAGGCGGUUUUUUAAGUCUGAUGUGAAAGCCCACGGCUCAACCGUGGAGGGUCAUUGGAAACUGGAAAACUUGAGUGCAGAAGAGGAAAGUGGAAUUCCAUGUGUAGCGGUGAAAUGCGCAGAGGAUAUGGAGGAACACCAGUGGCGAAGGCGACUUUCUGGUCUGUAACUGACGCUGAUGUGCGAAAGCGUGGGGAUCAAACAGGAUUAGAUACCCUGGUAGUCCACGCCGUAAACGAUGAGUGCUAAGUGUUAGGGGGUUUCCGCCCCUUAGUGCUGCAGCUAACGCAUUAAGCACUCCGCCUGGGGAGUACGACCGCAAGGUUGAAACUCAAAGGAAUUGACGGGGACCCGCACAAGCGGUGGAGCAUGUGGUUUAAUUCGAAGCAACGCGAAGAACCUUACCAAAUCUUGACAUCCUUUGACAACUCUAGAGAUAGAGCCUUCCUCUUCGGGGGACAAAGUGACAGGUGGUGCAUGGUUGUCGUCAGCUCGUGUCGUGAGAUGUUGGGUUAAGUCCCGCAACGAGCGCAACCCUUAAGCUUAGUUGCCAUCAUUAAGUUGGGCACUCUAAGUUGACUGCCGAUGACAAACCGGAGGAAGGUGGGGAUGACGUCAAAUCAUCAUGCCCCUUAUGAUUUGGGCUACACACGUGCUACAAUGGACAAUACAAAGGGCAGCGAAACCGCGAGGUCAAGCAAAUCCCAUAAAGUUGUUCUCAGUUCGGAUUGUAGUCUGCAACUCGACUACAUGAAGCUGGAAUCGCUAGUAAUCGUAGAUCAGCAUGCUACGGUGAAUACGUUCCCGGGUCU